Molecule: small nuclear RNA, 297 nt
Filed under: Sarcophilus harrisii (Tasmanian devil)
Lineage: Eukaryota; Metazoa; Chordata; Mammalia; Dasyuromorphia; Dasyuridae
Description: 7SK RNA
Rfam family: 7SK RNA
About the family: 7SK was discovered as an abundant small nuclear RNA in the mid-70s but a possible function has only recently been suggested.
Source: Rfam by way of RNAcentral
GGAUAUGAGGGUGAUGUGGUUGCCUUGCAAACUGUCACCCCAUUGAUCAUCAGGGCUAAUCUAGUUAGCUAGAUGGGUGUCCCCUUCUUCCCUUAUCACUCCAUAUGCAUCUUUUCUCAGUAAAAGAGGAGGACCUUCCCCAAUAGAGGUGUACAUGUCAAGGGUACAUGAGUACCUGUGCUCCCCCAUUCGAACAAGCUCUCAAAGCCCAUUUGUAAGAGAAUGUAGGGUUUUCAUACUUCCAAGACUCCGGACACAUCCAUAUGAGGCACUGCCUGGGGCAGUCUGCUUUCCUUU